GAUGAACGCUAGCGGCAGGCUUAAUACAUGCAAGUCGAGGGGCAGCAGGUCUUUGUAGCAAUACAGAGAUGCUGGCGACCGGCAAACGGGUGCGGAACACGUACGCAACUUACCCUUAAGAGGGGGAUAGCCCGGGGAAACCCGGAUUAAUACCCCAUACUAUGAUUGGAUGGCCUCAUCCGAUUAUUAAAGUCUUUAAUAGAGGCGCUUAAGGAUGGGCGUGCGGCUGAUUAGGAGUUGGCAGGGGUAAGGGCCUACCAAGCCUAUGAUCAGUAACUGGUGUGAGAGCACGACCAGUCACACGGGCACUGAGACACGGGCCCGACUCCUACGGGAGGCAGCAGUAAGGAAUAUUGGUCAAUGGACGCAAGUCUGAACCAG
RNAcentral lists this ribosomal RNA (381 nucleotides) under uncultured bacterium. RNAcentral's name for it is "bacterial SSU rRNA". It matches the Rfam family "Bacterial small subunit ribosomal RNA", at positions 28 to 391 of the family's 1533-position model. The record is from RNAcentral.